GCCGUGCCGUUCAUCCCCCCCCCCAUCAUUCCCCAUAGUCGUCUCCUCGACGACAUCCACGGAGCGUAAGUGCUGAUGUGCGUGCAUGUGUCCAUGUACUCGCUGCAGUGUGCUGCGGCUGCGCAUUGGGGAACUCAAAGUAGCUGACGGCGGCGCCACUCAUGGGGCCCUCAGGCGCACCUCAGAUCCUCGCUGGCCCUCUUCCCCACCUGCACACGCUCCAGCGGCCUCCUCUUUUGUGUUCGUCGGAGGCACCCUCACCUCCCUAGUUCCCGAGAAGUGUGAAAAGGGAAAAGGGAGGCUGCAGUGCCUCCUCCCGUCCCGAAUUCGGCCAUCCAGUGUAGUCCAUUCCUCCACCGUUCCACACGGCGGUGGCCUUGGGCCGCCUGAUUGGUCUGCGCAAUACAGCAGGCAGAGUCGUUGCUCUUGAGUCUUUGUCACUCCGCUUCCUCAUUCCCCGCUACUCUCUUUCCCUGCUCGUCCUUUUUCCCGACUGGUUGCGCUCUCCCCUUCCCUCGCCUCCACUGCUGCGGCAUCACCUGGCAG
RNAcentral lists this unclassified non-coding RNA (546 nucleotides) under Leishmania donovani. RNAcentral describes it as "gene:unknown". The record is from RNAcentral. Lineage: Eukaryota; Euglenozoa; Kinetoplastea; Trypanosomatida; Trypanosomatidae.